CUCUUCCCAUCAGAGUGAGCAGAACCCCGAGGCCACACCUGUUUUAGACUUUAAAAUGCCAAGAAGGAGGGUGGGUGGCCCUUUAAGGAAGCCGCUACUUUGCAAAAAUCCUUCUUUCUGACUACCCUGAGCUCUUGUUGGUCCACGACCCUGAAGCCUCCCCUCUGCAACUCCUUCCUCCUCAGCCUUUCAGUACUGUUCUCCGGCUCCGUUCUCCGUCCGGUCUUGUGUCAUCUCACCCAGCCCAUACUUUCAACCACCAGGAGUCGAUGGAGCCCUUAGUUUCCUCUGGAGCUCCCGAUAAGUACGGCCAUGUGACUAACUGAGGACGUAUGUAGGGUUUUGGGAACAUCUCCUUAAAAGGUAACAGACACAUGCUUCUUUCCUCCUAUCCUUCCUGUGGCUGCCUGGAAUAUGGAUGUAAUGG
RNAcentral lists this long non-coding RNA (427 nucleotides) under Mustela putorius furo (domestic ferret). RNAcentral's name for it is "lncRNA (ENSMPUG00000030675.1)". Lineage: Eukaryota; Metazoa; Chordata; Mammalia; Carnivora; Mustelidae. The record is from RNAcentral.